GUAGGUGAACCUGCGGAGGGAUCAUUACCAGUGACCCCCGGCUUCGGCCGGGGAUGAUCAUAACCCUUUGCUGUCCGACUCUGUUGCCUCCGGGGCGACCCUGCCUCCGGGCGGGGGCCCCGGGUGGACACAUUCAAACUCUUGCGUAACUUUGCAGUCUGAGUAAAUUUAAUUAAUAAAUUAAAACUUUCAACAACGGAUCUCUUGGUUCUG
This 213-nucleotide unclassified non-coding RNA is filed under the name rhizosphere metagenome. Its description in RNAcentral is "partial ribosomal RNA internal transcribed spacer region". The record is from RNAcentral.